RNAcentral lists this ribosomal RNA (253 nucleotides) under uncultured bacterium. RNAcentral describes it as "partial 16S ribosomal RNA". It matches the Rfam family "Bacterial small subunit ribosomal RNA", at positions 524 to 776 of the family's 1533-position model. The record is from RNAcentral.
UACGUAGGCGGCAAACGUUACUCGGAAUCACUGGGCUUAAAGGGCGCGUAGGCUGUAUGACAAGUUGGAGUUGAAAUCCGGCGGCUCAACCGUCGAAUAGGCCCCAAUACUGUCGUACUCGAGUCGCGGAGGGGUUGCUGGAACUCGUGGUGUAACGGUGGAAUGUAUAGAUAUCACGAGGAACACCAAUGGCGAAGGCAGGCAACUGGCCGAUGACUGACGCUGAGGCGCGAAAGCUAGGGGAGCAAACAGG